Molecule: ribosomal RNA, 253 nt
Filed under: uncultured bacterium
Lineage: Bacteria
Description: partial 16S ribosomal RNA
Rfam family: Bacterial small subunit ribosomal RNA
Source: RNAcentral
UACGUAGGGUGCAAGCGUUGUCCGGAAUUAUUGGGCGUAAAGAGCUCGUAGGCGGCUUGUCACGUCGGGUGUGAAAGCCCGGGGCUUAACCCCGGGUCUGCAUUCGAUACGGGCAGGCUAGAGUGUGGUAGGGGGGAUCGGAAUUCCUGGUGUAGCGGUGAAAUGCGCAGAUAUCAGGAGGGACACCGGUGGCGAAGGCGGGUCUCUGGGCCGAUACUGACGCUGAGGAGCGAAAGCGUGGGGAGCAAACAGG